UGGGGAAUAUUGCACAAUGGAGGGAACUCUGAUGCAGCGACGCCGCGUGAACGAAGAAGGCUUUCGAGUCGUAAAGUUCUUUUAUAUGGGAAGAUAAUGACGGUAUCAUAGGAGGAAGCCCCGGCUAAAUACGUGCCAGCAGCCGCGGUAAUACGUAUGGGGCGAGCGUUGUCCGGAAUUAUUGGGCGUAAAGGGUACGUAGGCGGUCUAUUAAGUCAGGUGUGAAAGCGUGAGGCUUAACCUCAUUAAGCACUUGAAACUGAUAGACUUGAGUGAAGGAGAGGAAAGUGGAAUUCCUAGUGUAGCGGUGAAAUGCGUAGAUAUUAGGAGGAAUACCGGUGGCGAAGGCGACUUUCUGGACUUUUACUGACGCUCAAGUACGAAAGCGUGGGGAGCAAACAGG
Molecule: ribosomal RNA, 403 nt
Filed under: Verrucomicrobiota bacterium
Lineage: Bacteria; Pseudomonadati; Verrucomicrobiota
Description: Verrucomicrobia bacterium partial 16S ribosomal RNA
Rfam family: Bacterial small subunit ribosomal RNA
Source: RNAcentral